GUGGGGAAUCUUGCGCAAUGGGCGAAAGCCUGACGCAGCCAUGCCGCGUGGAUGAUGAAGGUCUUAGGAUUGUAAAAUCCUUUCACCGGUGAAGAUAAUGACUGUAGCCGGAGAAGAAGCCCCGGCUAACUUCGUGCCAGCAGCCGCGGUAAUACGAAGGGGGCUAGCGUUGCUCGGAUUUACUGGGCGUAAAGGGCGCGUAGGCGGACAUUUAAGUCAGGGGUGAAAUCCCGGGGAUCAACCUCGGAACUGCCUUUGAUACUGGGUGUCUUGAGUAUGAGAGAGGUGUGUGGAACUCCGAGUGUAGAGGUGAAAUUCGUAGAUAUUCGGAAGAACACCAGUGGCGAAGGCGACACACUGGCCCGAUACUGACGCUGAGGUGCGAAAGCGUGGGGAGCAAACAGGAUUAGAAACCCGUGUAGUCC
RNAcentral lists this ribosomal RNA (425 nucleotides) under uncultured bacterium. Its description in RNAcentral is "partial 16S ribosomal RNA". It matches the Rfam family "Bacterial small subunit ribosomal RNA", at positions 354 to 796 of the family's 1533-position model. The record is from RNAcentral.